UACAGAGGCUGCAAGCGUUAUUCGGAUUCACUGGGCGUAAAGGGUGCGCAGGCGGUCGGGUGUGUCAGAUGUGAAAUCCCGAGGCUCAACCUCGGAACUGCGUCUGAAACUACUCGACUAGAGUACUGGAGAGGGUAACGGAAUUCACGGUGUAGCAGUGAAAUGCGUAGAUAUCGUGAGGAACACCAGAGGCGAAGGCGGUUACCUGGACAGUUACUGACGCUCAGGCACGAAAGCAUGGGGAGCAAACAGG
Molecule: ribosomal RNA, 253 nt
Filed under: uncultured bacterium
Lineage: Bacteria
Description: partial 16S ribosomal RNA
Rfam family: Bacterial small subunit ribosomal RNA
Source: RNAcentral